Non-coding RNA from Podarcis lilfordi (Lilford's wall lizard), 71 nucleotides. Lineage: Eukaryota; Metazoa; Chordata; Lepidosauria; Squamata; Lacertidae. The record is from the annotation of a GenBank genome assembly.
GGGAUAGCUCAGUCAGUAGAGCACCAGACUCUUAAUCUCAGGGUCAUGGGUUCAAGCCUCAUGUUGGGUCA